CUCCUAGGGGGUUAAGGAGAGAGGAUAAGGAGAGAAACUCUUAAAGAAGACUGCAACAGAGGAAGCAGAAGGGAAAAAACUUCUGAAAAUAUAACCAAUACACUCAUCGUUGGUGAGACUCAGAGGCGAGGCCCUAUACACAGAUUAUCAAUACAUGUAUAAAGUUGAGCCCCUACCGAAUGCUUUCACACCAAGACUGUUAGCCCAAUGGAAGUUGGCUGUGUGGAUACUCUUGAGGACCACAAGAGGUCUUGUUUCUUUAAAAAACAAAACCAAACAAAACAAACCAUUAAGGGCCCAUGUGAAUUGGGGAAUAUGAAGAUACCAAAAAAAACAGAAAUAGAGGGAGUUGUCCUGGACAGACCCCAAACUGAGAAGAGUGAAAUAAUGGAUUUUUCCUUUCAGCACAUUGUCUCAUAUGAGAAGAAUGAAAGAUAACUGAUAAGCAACUUCCAGCAAGAAGACAUAUAACUUAUAUUCUGAUUGGUUACUAGUGAUUUGAAUCUAUGCAGAUGUAUCUAAUGCUAACAUAUGUAUGUAUGUAUAUGUAUUUAUAUGACUAGUCAUAGACUUGAAGCAUUUUUUUUCAUAUUACUAAAGACUUGGCACUAAGUGCCAGUUUGCAAAAAUAUUUUACUUCCUUUUCCAUUAAUUUUGAUUGGCCUGAAUGGAACUCAUUUCAAGUUCCUCUAUUCUUGUUUUUGUGAGAGGCAUUACUUUUUUCUCUCUGUGAGUGUAUCUUUAUUACCUAUAUUGUUUGGUGCUCUUGAAUAAAGGAGAUUUGACACAGUGUACAUUUGAAUUAAACAUUCAUUUCUUCAGCAAGGAUUUCUGUUCAAGACAUUGUGCUGUUAAGACAUAGGCAAGGGUGAGAAGAGGUGGAGGGGUGACAAAGCAAGAUGGGCCAGAUGAUUUAA
Molecule: long non-coding RNA, 917 nt
Filed under: Mustela putorius furo (domestic ferret)
Lineage: Eukaryota; Metazoa; Chordata; Mammalia; Carnivora; Mustelidae
Description: lncRNA (ENSMPUG00000029191.1)
Source: RNAcentral